AGAGUUUGAUCCUGGCUCAGAGCGAACGCUGGCGGCAGGCCUAAUACAUGCAAGUCGAGCGGCCACUUCGGUGGCAGCGGCGGACGGGUGAGUAACGCGUGGGAACGUGCCCUUUGGUUCGGAACAACACAGGGAAACUUGUGCUAAUACCGAAUGUGCCCUUCGGGGGAAAGAUUUAUCGCCAUUGGAGCGGCCCGCGUUGGAUUAGGUAGUUGGUGGGGUAAAGGCCUACCAAGCCUACGAUCCAUAGCUGGUCUGAGAGGAUGAUCAGCCACACUGGGACUGAGACACGGCCCAGACUCCUACGGGAGGCAGCAGUAGGGAAUCUUGCGCAAUGGGCGAAAGCCUGACGCAGCCAUGCCGCGUGAAUGAUGAAGGUCUUAGGAUUGUAAAAUUCUUUCACCGGGGAAGAUAAUGACGGUACCCGGAGAAGAAGCCCCGGCUAACUUCGUGCCAGCAGCCGCGGUAAUACGAAGGGGGCUAGCGUUGCUCGGAAUUACUGGGCGUAAAGGGCGCGUAGGCGGACAGUUUAGUCAGAGGUGAAAGCCCAGGGC
Molecule: ribosomal RNA, 554 nt
Filed under: uncultured bacterium
Lineage: Bacteria
Description: bacterial SSU rRNA
Rfam family: Bacterial small subunit ribosomal RNA
Source: RNAcentral